UGGGGAAUAUUGGACAAUGGGGGCAACCCUGAUCCAGCAAUGCCGCGUGAGUGAUGAAGGCCUUAGGGUUGUAAAGCUCUUUUGCCCGGGAAGAUAAUGACUGUACCGGGAGAAUAAGCCCCGGCUAACUCCGUGCCAGCAGCCGCGGUAAUACGGAGGGGGCUAGCGUUGUUCGGAAUUACUGGGCGUAAAGCGCACGUAGGCGGCUUUGCAAGUCAGAGGUGAAAGCCCGGGGCUCAACCCCGGAAUUGCCUUUGAGACUGCAGGGCUAGCAGGUGAGAGAGGUGAGUGGAAUUCCGAGUGUAGAGGUGAAAUUCGUAGAUAUUCGGAAGAACACCAGUGGCGAAGGCGGCUCACUGGCUCAUACUGGACGCUGAGGUGCGAAAGCGUGGGGAGCAAACAGGAUUAGAUACCCCCGUAGUCC
This 424-nucleotide ribosomal RNA is filed under the name uncultured bacterium. RNAcentral describes it as "bacterial SSU rRNA". It matches the Rfam family "Bacterial small subunit ribosomal RNA", at positions 355 to 796 of the family's 1533-position model. The record is from RNAcentral.